GUGAGGAAUAUUGCGCAAUGGAGGCAACUCUGACGCAGCCAUGCCGCGUGCAGGAAGAAGGCGCUACGCGUUGUAAACUGCUUUUAACCGGGAAGAAACCCCAGGACGUGUCCUGGGUUGACGGUACCGGAGGAAUAAGCACCGGCUAACUUCGUACCAGCAGCCGCGGUAAUACGAAGGGUGCAAGCGUUAUCCGGAUUCAUUGGGUUGAAAGGGUGCGUAGGCGGAGCGUUAAGUCAGUGGUGAAAUCCUGCAGCUUAACUGUAGACUUGCCAUUGAUACUGGCGCUCGUGAGUGCGCUUGAAGUGGGCGGAAUGUGCCGUGUAGCGGUGAAAUGCUUAGAUAUGGCACAGAACACCAAUUGCGAAGGCAGCUCACUAAGGCGAUACUGACGCUGAGGCACGAAAGCGUGGGGAUCGAACAGGAUUAGAAACCCCUGUAGUCC
This 445-nucleotide ribosomal RNA is filed under the name uncultured bacterium. RNAcentral describes it as "partial 16S ribosomal RNA". It matches the Rfam family "Bacterial small subunit ribosomal RNA", at positions 354 to 796 of the family's 1533-position model. The record is from RNAcentral.